AUAAGUUCGACGACCUCCCUAUCUCAUGCUUGUGCUGUUUCCAGACUGAAAUAAAUCGAUCCGCCGUAUAUACUGGUUCUCCCGCUCAUUUUCUUUUCAAUCCGCUUUUUCAUCCGGCCACUGACAUUUCUCGUUUGGCGCCCGAGCAGUUGCUAAAGAUAGUACAUUGUCUCACGAGACGUGCUCUAGAACUCGUGGCCCAUUCGGGGGUGCAUCGCACCCUCUUCUCCUAGGAGUUUAUUCUCGAUAACCUCUAAUGCAGUAGAGAAGGAUGGAACGAGACAAUGAACGUGGAUGAAGGAAACGGACCUACUAGAAGAAAGAAGUUAGAUACGGAAGACAAUGGGGGAUAAAAGAGAGCGUUCGAGGAGUGAUAAGGGGUCAGACCAGUUUCGGAACUUUAAUAAUAAUAAUAGAAAGUCGAUAAAAUUAUAUUUCUCAGUAAAGCUCCUCACGUCACUAUCGGUUCAGUAGCUACACAGAUUCUAUGUCAGCCAUUGCAUGCAAAGCAAAGACGACUUUCAAAUCUGCACGGUAUCCAGGAAUCUCGUUGAUUGAUUGUUCUGACGUUAAAUCAGGGGAUGGAACGACGUCGAGCGUCGGGUCACGUUCUACGUGCCACACAGUCACUUUGUCAAACGUUAUUAUCGUGCAUAUUUUCAGACGUUAUCUAUUUGUGGGUAAAGUAAUACAUGGAUAAUAUUUAUUUUUCAAUCUUUUUUUUUCUCAUCAUUCUCAUACGAUGCGUCAUGGACUCUGUCACCAUUAGUCGGAUGGCUACCUGGAAUAAUUUCCUGAUUCGUUCUUUCUAAUCGUGGAAAUCCUUAUCAUACGUAAAUGACAGUUCAUCGAUUUUUGUAGGAACGUGUGGGUGAACAAGAUGACUGAACAAAAUAGCUAGAAAGGCUAAUAGAAAAUAAUCGCAAGUUUUCAAGCGUUAAAAAAAAGAAUUUUAUUCGAUUAAUUCUUCGUCAGUGACUAUUAUCGCUUCUGAUAAGAGACGACUGUGUUAUUAUAUUAAUUCAGAUAAUCAGGAAGCAAUCAGAUAUUAUGAAUCUCUUCCUACUUCAUAAAAGUCUUAUGAACAUUCUUAGGACGUCUCAGGGA
Long non-coding RNA from Cephus cinctus (wheat stem sawfly), 1107 nucleotides. RefSeq lists it as uncharacterized. Lineage: Eukaryota; Metazoa; Arthropoda; Insecta; Hymenoptera; Cephidae. The record is from RefSeq and is a predicted model, not a curated record. The transcript is spliced from 3 exons.